This 111-nucleotide ribosomal RNA is filed under the name Klebsiella aerogenes. Lineage: Bacteria; Pseudomonadati; Pseudomonadota; Gammaproteobacteria; Enterobacterales; Enterobacteriaceae. RNAcentral also lists the same sequence under 11 other names. The record is from RNAcentral.
UGGCGGCGAUAGCGCGGUGGUCCCACCUGACCCCAUGCCGAACUCAGAAGUGAAACGCCGUAGCGCCGAUGGUAGUGUGGGGUCUCCCCAUGUGAGAGUAGGGAACUGCCA